Molecule: ribosomal RNA, 550 nt
Filed under: uncultured archaeon
Lineage: Archaea
Description: bacterial SSU rRNA
Rfam family: Archaeal small subunit ribosomal RNA
Source: RNAcentral
GAUCAGGCUGUUGGUGAGGUAAUGGCCCACCAAACCUGUAACCGGUACGGGCUCUGAGAGGAGGAGCCCGGAGAUGGGCACUGAGACAAGGGCCCGGGCCCUAUGGGGCGCAGCAGGCGCGAAACCUCUGCAAUAGGCGAAAGCUUGACAGGGUUACUCUGAGUGAUUUCCGUUAAGGAGAUCUUUUGGCACCUCUAAAAAUGGUGCAGAAUAAGGGGUGGGCAAGUCUGGUGUCAGCCGCCGCGGUAAUACCAGCACCCCGAGUGGUCGGGACGUUUAUUGGGCCUAAAGCAUCCGUAGCCGGUUCUACAAGUCUUCCGUUAAAUCCACCUGCUUAACAGAUGGGCUGCGGAAGAUACUAUAGAGCUAGGAGGCGGGAGAGGCAAGCGGUACUCGAUGGGUAGGGGUAAAAUCCGUUGAUCCAUUGAAGACCACCAGUGGCGAAGGCGGCUUGCCAGAACGCGCUCGACGGUGAGGGAUGAAAGCUGGGGGAGCAAACCGGAUUAGAUACCCGGGUAGUCCCAGCUGUAAACGAUGCAGACUCGGUGAU